This 72-nucleotide transfer RNA is filed under the name Bacteroidales bacterium. RNAcentral's name for it is "tRNA-Cys". It matches the Rfam family "tRNA". Rfam says of the family: Transfer RNA (tRNA) molecules are approximately 80 nucleotides in length. Their secondary structure includes four short double-helical elements and three loops (D, anti-codon, and T loops). The record is from RNAcentral. Lineage: Bacteria; Pseudomonadati; Bacteroidota; Bacteroidia; Bacteroidales.
GGUACCUUGGCCGAGUGGUUAGGCAGCGGUCUGCAAAACCGCGUACGGCGGUUCGAAUCCGCCAGGUACCUC